GACGAACGCUGGCGGCGUGCUUAACACAUGCAAGUCGAACGGUAAGGCCCUUCGGAGUACACGAGUGGCGAACGGGUGAGUAACACGUGGGUGAUCUGCCCUGCACUUCGGGAUAAGCCUGGGAAACUGGGUCUAAUACCGGAUAGGACCACUGCCUGCAUGGGUGGUGGUGGAAAGCUUUUGCGGUGUGGGAUGGGCCCGCGGCCUAUCAGCUUGUUGGUGGGGUGAUGGCCUACCAAGGCGACGACGGGUAGCCGGCCUGGGAGGGUGACCGGCCACACUGGGACGGGGAUACGGCCCAGACUCCUACGGGAGGCAGCAGUGGGGAAUAUUGCACAAUGGGCGCAAGCCUGAUGCAGCGACGCCGCGUGAGGGAUGACGGCCUUCGGGUUGUAAACCUCUUUCAGCACCGACGAAGCGCAAGUGACGGUAGGUGCAGAAGAAGGACCGGCCAACUACGUGCCAGCAGCCGCCGUAA
Molecule: ribosomal RNA, 478 nt
Filed under: uncultured bacterium
Lineage: Bacteria
Description: partial 16S ribosomal RNA
Rfam family: Bacterial small subunit ribosomal RNA
Source: RNAcentral